AAGCCCCGGACUAAGUUGGUGUCA
RNAcentral lists this non-coding RNA (24 nucleotides) under Gossypium hirsutum (cotton). The record is from RNAcentral. Lineage: Eukaryota; Viridiplantae; Streptophyta; Magnoliopsida; Malvales; Malvaceae.